CUGGCUCAGGAUGAACGCUAGCUACAGGCUUAACACAUGCAAGUCGAGGGGCAGCGAGAGGAAAGCUUGCUUCCUGUCGGCGACCGGCGCACGGGUGAGUAACGCGUAUCCAACCUUCCCCAUAGUAGAGGAUAGCCCGGCGAAAGUCGGAUUAAUACUCUAUGUUGUGUCAUGAGGACAUCUGAAUAACACCAAAGAUUUAUCGCUAUGGGAUGGGGAUGCGUCUGAUUAGGUAGUCGGCGGGGUAACGGCCCACCGAGCCGACGAUCAGUAGGGGUUCUGAGAGGAAGGUCCCCCACAUUGGUACUGAGACACGGACCAAACUCCUACGGGAGGCAGCAGUGAGGAAUAUUGGUCAAUGGACGAGAGUCUGAACCAGCCAAGUAGCGUGCAAGGAUGACUGCCCUAUGGGUUGUAAACUGCUUUUAUGCGGGAAUAAAGUCAGGUACGUGUACCUGUUUGUAUGUACCGCAUGAAUAAGGACCGGCUAAUUCCGUGCCAGCCGCCGC
This 509-nucleotide ribosomal RNA is filed under the name uncultured bacterium. Its description in RNAcentral is "bacterial SSU rRNA". It matches the Rfam family "Bacterial small subunit ribosomal RNA", at positions 19 to 518 of the family's 1533-position model. The record is from RNAcentral.